RNAcentral lists this ribosomal RNA (586 nucleotides) under uncultured bacterium. RNAcentral describes it as "bacterial SSU rRNA". It matches the Rfam family "Bacterial small subunit ribosomal RNA", at positions 339 to 916 of the family's 1533-position model. The record is from RNAcentral.
CCUCGGGAGGCAGCAGUGGGGAAUAUUGCGCAAUGGGCGAAAGCCUGACGCAGCAACGCCGCGUGAGCGAUGAAGGCCCUCGGGGUUGUAAAGCUCUGUUGGAAGGAAAGAUGGGUUUAAGAGUUAAUACCUCUUAGAUUUGACGGUACCUUCAAAGAAAGCACCGGCUAACUCUGUGCCAGCAGCCGCGGUAAUACAGAGGGUGCAAGCGUUGUUCGGAAUCAUUGGGCGUAAAGCGCGCGUAGGCGGCCAAAUAAGUCUGAUGUGAAAGCCCAGGGCUCAACCCUGGAAGUGCAUCGGAAACUGUUUGGCUCGAGUCCCGGAGGGGGUGGUGGAAUUCCGAGUGUAGAGGUGAAAUUCGUAGAUAUUCGGAGGAACACCAGUGGCGAAGGCGGCUCACUGGCUCGAUACUGACGCUGAGGUGCGAAAGUGUGGGGAGCAAACAGGAUUAGAUACCCUGGUAGUCCACACCGUAAACGAUGAAUGCCAGUCGUCGGAUAGUAUACUAUUCGGUGACACACCUAACGGAUUAAGCAUUCCGCCUGGGGAGUACGGUCGCAAGAUUAAAACUCAAAGGAAUUGACGG